CUGGCGGCAUGCCUUACACAUGCAAGUCGAACGCGAAAGCGGGCAACCGCAAGUAGAGUGGCGAACGGGUGAGUAAUACAUCGGAACGUACCCAGUAGCGGGGGAUAACCUGUCGAAAGAUAGGCUAAUACCGCAUACGACCUACGGGUGAAAGCGGGGGACCACAAGACCUCGCACUAUUGGAGCGGCCGAUGUCGGAUUAGCUAGUUGGCGGGGUAACGGCCCACCAAGGCGACGAUCCGUAGCUGGUCUGAGAGGACGACCAGCCACACUGGAACUGAGACACGGUCCAGACUCCUACGGGAGGCAGCAGUGGGGAAUUUUGGACAAUGGGGGAAACCCUGAUCCAGCCAUGCCGCGUGGGUGAAGAAGGCCUUCGGGUUGUAAGCCCUUUCGGCGGAGACGAAAAGGUCCGUGCCAACACCACGGACUAAUGACGGUACCCACAGAAGAAGCACCGGCUAACUACGUGCCAGCAGCCGCGGUAAUACGUAGGGUGCAGGCGUUAAUCGGAAUUACUGGGCGUUAAGCGUGCGCAGGCGGUUUGCUAAGACAGGUGUGAAAUCCCCGGGCUUAACCUGGGAACUGCGCUUGUAACUGGCAAGCUAGAGUGUGGCAGAGGGGGGUGGAAUUCCACGUGUAGCAGUGAAAUGCGUAGAUAUGUGGAGGAACACCGAUGGCGAAGGCAGCCCCCUGGGCUAACACUGACGCUCAUGCACGAAAGCGUGGGGAGCAAACAGGAUUAGAUACCCUGGUAGUCCACGCCCUAAACUAUGUCAACUGGUUGUCGGGGAAGCAAUUCCUUGGUAACGAAGCUAACGCGUGAAGUUGACCGCCUGGGGAGUACGGCCGCAAGGUUAAAACUCAAAGGAAUUGACGGGGACCCGCACAAGCGGUGGAUUAUGUGGAUUAAUUCGAUGCAACGCGAAAAACCUUACCUACCCUUGACAUGUACGGAAUCUCGCAGAGAUGUGAGAGUGCUCGAAAGAGAACCGUAACACAGGUGCUGCAUGGCUGUCGUCAGCUCGUGUCGUGAGAUGUUGGGUUAAGUCCCGCAACGAGCGCAACCCUUGCCAUUAGUUGCCACAUUAAGUUGGGCACUCUAAUGGGACUGCCGGUGACAAACCGGAGGAAGGUGGGGAUGACGUCAAGUCCUCAUGGCCCUUAUGGGUAGGGCUUCACACGUAAUACAAUGGCAGGUACAGAGGGCAGCCAACCCGCGAGGGGGAGCUAAUCCCAGAAAGCCUGUCGUAGUCCGGAUUGUAGUCUGCAACUCGACUACAUGAAGCCGGAAUCGCUAGUAAUCGCGGAUCAGCAUGUCGCGGUGAAUACGUUCCCGGGUCUUGUACACACCGCCCGUCACACCAUGGGAGUGGGUUCCACCAGAAGUAGUUAGCCUAACCGCAAGGUGGGCGAUUACCA
Molecule: ribosomal RNA, 1422 nt
Filed under: metagenome
Description: bacterial SSU rRNA
Rfam family: Bacterial small subunit ribosomal RNA
Source: RNAcentral